Molecule: long non-coding RNA, 1096 nt
Filed under: Homo sapiens (human)
Lineage: Eukaryota; Metazoa; Chordata; Mammalia; Primates; Hominidae
Description: LNC_000646
Source: RNAcentral
UGGAUGACAAGUGGGCUAGGCUGGGCUGUCGGGGGCAGGACGAAGAUUCUGGCUGAACUUUCCAAGGGACGGGACGCUUGGGAUCCUGGCUGGUACGAGGCCUCCCACACUGUCAAAUGUCAACUCCACCAGCACUGAGACAAUGAGUAGAUGAGAAUGUAGAAAGAGGGAAGGUGGUAGGUAAAGGAGCGGAAGGAAGAGGUGGGGAAAGAGGGAAGGAGAGAAGGGAAGGAGGGAAGAGAAAGAAGGAAGAAAAGGAAAGCAUGGCCCGGCUAGAGACAAAGCCAGAGGUGAUCAGGUCAGCAGCAGGAGAGGCUCAGAAGGGAGCCUCUCGGGAAGUGCAGGCAGCCAUGAGGGCUCGUUUCAGCUGCUCAUAGGUGACGAACAUCACCACGUUCCAGGAACCCAAGCGGAGAAAGGAGGGCAUGAACCCUUUGUAGAAGGCUCGGGGCCCCUCCUUCUGGAGCAUGGUAAGGGCACAGUGGCCAGCGCUACUGUACUGGCCCAGGGCAGAGUUCAUGUAUCUCGUCUUGACCACGUCUACAGGGGAGGCGAUGACAGUGGUGCAGAAGCCUGCCCCAAAGGCAGAAGUGAAGUGGCAAGGGAGGUCAUCUGUCAUGAGGUUGGCUUUCAGGAGGGCAUCCUUGAUGAGGUCAUAGGUCACCAGCUCAGCACAGUUGACAAUGGCAUUACGAGCAACAUUGGGAGAGGUCCCUUUCCAGAGGCCCCGGAACCCUUCCUCUCGGGCAAUGGUCUUGUAGGCAUUGACGGUGCUUUGGUAUCUCCGACCACCUCCAGCCCGGGCCUGAGCUUGGAAUCGGACCUUUACCACAUCCGUGGGCUGGGCCACAGCCACAGCCAGGGCACCUGUGGUGCUGCCUGCUAGGAGGCGGCUCCCAAUGCUGGCAUGCUCAGAGCCCUUGGUGUAGAACUGUUUGACAGAAUCAUACAGGCCGAUGCGGACAGAGGCAAAGCUCAUUUGGCGCUGCAGGCCGGCAACCAGCCCAUUGUAGAGGCUUCGGGGGCCCUCAGUACGCACCAUGGUCAGAAUGGUGCCCAUCACACCGCGGUACUGGGCGCUGGCUGUAGCGCGCAC